RNAcentral lists this non-coding RNA (22 nucleotides) under Arabidopsis thaliana (thale cress). The record is from RNAcentral. Lineage: Eukaryota; Viridiplantae; Streptophyta; Magnoliopsida; Brassicales; Brassicaceae.
UAGCUUGACUCCUCACACUCAU